Molecule: ribosomal RNA, 405 nt
Filed under: uncultured bacterium
Lineage: Bacteria
Description: partial 16S ribosomal RNA
Rfam family: Bacterial small subunit ribosomal RNA
Source: RNAcentral
AUUGAACGCUGGCGGCAGGCUUAACACAUGCAAGUCGAGCGAGCGGCGGACGGGUGAGUAAUGUCUGGGAAACUGCCUGCUGGAGGGGUAUAACUACUGGAAACGGUAGCUAAUACCGCAUACCAUCAGAUGUGCCCAGAUGGGAUUAGCUAGUAGGUGGGGUAAUGGCUCACCUAGGCGACGAUCCCUAGCUGGUCUGAGAGGAUGACCGGCCAAGCUGGAACGGGGACACGGUCCAGACCCCUACGGGAGGAAGCAGUGGGGAAUAUUGCACAAGGGGCGCAGGCCUAAUGCAGCCAUGCCGGGUGUGUGAAGAAGGCCUUCGGGUUGUAAAGCACUUUCAGCGAGGAGGCGUUACUCGCAGAAGAAGCACCGGCGAACUCCGUGCCAGCAGCCGCGGUAAUC